RNAcentral lists this ribosomal RNA (588 nucleotides) under Triticum aestivum (bread wheat). RNAcentral describes it as "partial small subunit ribosomal RNA". Lineage: Eukaryota; Viridiplantae; Streptophyta; Magnoliopsida; Poales; Poaceae. The record is from RNAcentral.
AUGGACUGGUCAUGGAAGAGCGAGCCAUCACUGCCUCCGUGCAGUGGGUUGGACGUCGUCGCCUACGCGCUGCACCCGGACGGGCGCACCAUCUUCGUGUCCACCGUCUCCACUACCCAUUCCUUCGACACCGGCAAUGGCCUCUGGAAGGAGCUCGGGGACUGGGUGUUGCCGUUCAGAGGACAAGCCUACUUCGACGGCAGCCUGGAUGCAUGGGUCGGGAUUCAUCACAAGGGAGAAGGGCACGUUUGCUGCUGCCUGGUCGCCUCCCGCAGCGCCGCCGCCGAGCGGCCACCGGACUGCAGGAUGCUCAAGGAGAAGCUGUUCCGCCGCAACAAUGAGGAGCCGUGGAUGGGUGGCGGCGGGCACAUGGGCGCCACUCUCACCUACAUGGGCCACAACAGAUUUUGCCUCGUCGAGAACAUCUUGCGGCACGAGAAGGCUGUCGACAGCAUGCUUCAUCUCACCUUGUUUGGCCUCGAGUAUGAUCGCGAGGGAGAGCUCCGGACUGAAGCUCGGCCCUGCACCAGGUCCUAUCCGGUGUCCAAGAACACCAUGCUGUUCUCUCAUGCAGCAUUCUGGAUGUAA